RNAcentral lists this ribosomal RNA (416 nucleotides) under uncultured bacterium. Its description in RNAcentral is "bacterial SSU rRNA". It matches the Rfam family "Bacterial small subunit ribosomal RNA", at positions 1076 to 1489 of the family's 1533-position model. The record is from RNAcentral.
UCGGUUAAGUCCCGGUACGAGCGCAACCCCUAUCUUUAGUUGCCAGCGCUUCGGGCGGGGACUCUAAAGAGACUGUCGGCGAAAAGUCGGAGGAAGGUGGGGACGACGUCAAGUCAGCAUGGCCCUUACGCCUUGGGCUACACACAUGCUACAAUGGCCGAUACAACAGGUUGCUAACCCGUGAGGGGGAGCCAAUCCUCUAAAGUCGGUCUCAGUUCGGAUUGCAGGUUGCAACUCACCUGCAUGAAGUUGGAAUCGCUAGUAAUCGCAGAUCAGCAAUGCUGCGGUGAAUACGUUCCCGGACCUUGCACACACCGCCCGUCACACCACGAAAGUCGGUUCUACCCGAAGUAGCUGCGCUUAACCUUCGGGAGGCAGGCUCCUAAGGUAGGGCCGGUAAUUGGGGUGAAAGUCGU